RNAcentral lists this ribosomal RNA (460 nucleotides) under uncultured bacterium. Its description in RNAcentral is "partial 16S ribosomal RNA". It matches the Rfam family "Bacterial small subunit ribosomal RNA", at positions 338 to 795 of the family's 1533-position model. The record is from RNAcentral.
CCUACGGGAGGCAGCAGUGAGGAAUAUUGGUCAAUGGGCGGGAGCCUGAACCAGCCAAGUCGCGUGAGGGACGACGGUCCUAUGGAUUGUAAACCUCUUUUAUAUGGGAAUAAAAUGUUCCACGUGUGGGAUUUUGUAUGUACCAUAUGAAUAAGGAUCGGCUAACUCCGUGCCAGCAGCCGCGGUAAUACGGAGGAUCCGAGCGUUAUCCGGAUUUAUUGGGUUUAAAGGGAGCGUAGGUGGAUUGUUAAGUCAGUUGUGAAAGUUUGCGGCUCAACCGUAAAAUUGCAGUUGAAACUGGCAGUCUUGAGUACAGUAGAGGUGGGCGGAAUUCGUGGUGUAGCGGUGAAAUGCUUAGAUAUCACGAAGAACUCCGAUUGCGAAGGCAGCAUACCGGCGCCCUACUGACGCUGAGGCACGAAAGUGCGGGUAUCGAACAGGAUUAGAUACCCUGGUAGUC